UCCAUGUCUUGUAAUUGGAAUGAAUAGAAUUUAAAUCACUUUAUGAGUAUCGAUUGGAGGGCAAGUCUGGUGCCAGCAGCCGCGGUAAUUCCAGCUCCAAUAGCGUAUAUUAAAGUUGUUGCGGUUAAAAAGCUCGUAGUUGGAUUUCUGUCGGUGAGUGGCGCUCCGCCCCUUGUGGUGAGUAGUCGCCAUGCCACCGGCAUCUUCUUGGGGAGUGUGUCUGCACUUCACUGUGUGGCGCACAAGCCAGGACAUUUACUUUGAGGAAAUGAGAGUGUUUCAAGCAGGCGCACGCCGUGAAUACGUUAGCAUGGAAUAAUAGCAUCGGACCUCGCUCCAAAGCUGUUGGUUUCUUGGGUCGAGGUAAAGGUGAAUAGGGAUUGUUGGGGGCAUUCGUAUUUAACUGUCAGAGGUGAAAUUCUUGGAUUUGUUGAAGACGGACUACUGCGAAAGCAUCUGCCAAGGAUGUUUUCAUUGAUCAAGAACGAAAGUUAGGGGAUCGAAGACGAUCAGAUACCGUCCUAGUCUUAACCAUAAACCAUGCCGACUAGAGAUUGGAGGUCGUUAUCUUUACGACUCCUUCAGCACCUUAUGAGAAAUCAAAGUCUUU
This 610-nucleotide ribosomal RNA is filed under the name uncultured dinoflagellate. Its description in RNAcentral is "bacterial SSU rRNA". It matches the Rfam family "Eukaryotic small subunit ribosomal RNA", at positions 495 to 1108 of the family's 1831-position model. Lineage: Eukaryota; Dinophyceae. The record is from RNAcentral.